RNAcentral lists this transfer RNA (69 nucleotides) under Saccoglossus kowalevskii. RNAcentral's name for it is "tRNA-Asp". Lineage: Eukaryota; Metazoa; Hemichordata; Enteropneusta; Harrimaniidae. The record is from RNAcentral.
AAGAGGUUAAUUAAAUUAUAAUACCGGCCUGUCAGACCGAACUUGCUAGUUAAACCCUAGUACCCCUUG